GACGAACGCUGGCGGCGUGCUUAACACAUGCAAGUCGAACGGAAAGGCCCUGCUUUUGUGGGGUGCUCGAGUGGCGAACGGGUGAGUAACACGUGAGUAACCUGCCCUUGACUUUGGGAUAACUUCAGGAAACUGGGGCUAAUACCGGAUAGGAGCUCCUGCUGCAUGGUGGGGGUUGGAAAGUUUCGGCGGUUGGGGAUGGACUCGCGGCUUAUCAGCUUGUUGGUGGGGUAGUGGCUUACCAAGGCUUUGACGGGUAGCCGGCCUGAGAGGGUGACCGGCCACCAUGGGACUGCGAUAGGGACCAGUAUCCUACGGGACGCAGCAGUGGGAAAUAUUGCACAGUGGGCGGAAGUCAGAUGCAGCAACGCCGCGUGCGGGAUGACGGCCUUCGAGUUGUAAACCGCUUUCGCCUGUGACGAAGCGGGAGUGACGGUAAUGGGUAAGGAAGCACCGGCUAACUACGUG
RNAcentral lists this ribosomal RNA (468 nucleotides) under uncultured bacterium. RNAcentral describes it as "partial 16S ribosomal RNA". It matches the Rfam family "Bacterial small subunit ribosomal RNA", at positions 28 to 507 of the family's 1533-position model. The record is from RNAcentral.